This 673-nucleotide long non-coding RNA is filed under the name Struthio camelus australis. RNAcentral's name for it is "lncRNA (ENSSCUG00000001067.1)". The record is from RNAcentral. Lineage: Eukaryota; Metazoa; Chordata; Aves; Struthioniformes; Struthionidae.
CUCUUACCAUAGUUUGCUGUCACUACUGACCACGGGCCAGACUGUGCACUUCUAAGAAUCCUUCAGAUGGAGUCAAUCGGACUGCUCAUAUGAACUUCUGCCUUCCUACAAGUGAACUUCAAAGCCUUUGAUAGCUGUGAAAAUCAGAAGAGCCUUUAUGCUAAGUAAAAUCUAUGUGGAAAGAGCACUGCUUCUGAUCCCACCAGGAGCUGCUAUACACCCCUUAUGUUUGUCAUCCUCUCAGCCUGUAUAAAAUAGUCAGUCUGCAUUCGUUUGGCUGUACCUUUACUGUGCUGUGUAAGCAAAACCUGUUAUACUGCUUGCCUGCUGGGCUUGGAGAUCAACCUGGAUACUCUGCUGUGAACCAGCCUAGGUGAUACUUUUCUAGAUGGCUACACUCUGUGCUUUAGGACCCUGACAAGUGACAGAGUGUACAGUGCAUCUUCCUUUCGUCCCAGCCUCCCUUACAGCAUCAACAUCAGGCAAACAGGUUACCUAAAAGGACAUCAUGACCAGCAAGAGCUGGGGCUCUGGAGCAGGAGCUCCCAAGAAGAGGUGCUAUGUGGAUAUAGCUGGCGCUGUCAAAUUGGAGAAGCUACAGCCUAACAGGACAGGCCAUGGUGCAGAGGAAGUGCUGAAGUGGUACAGGUGCCUCAAGAGAAAGUGUCUAUGA